ACUCAAAGGAAUUGACGGGGGCCCGCACAAGCGGUGGAGCAUGUGGUUUAAUUCGAUGCAACGCGAAGAACCUUACCUGCCCUUGACAUCCUAGGAAGGCUGCAGAAAUGCGGCUGUGCCGAAAGGAACCUGGAGACAGGUGCUGCAUGGCUGUCGUCAGCUCGUGUUGUGAGAUGUUGGGUUAAGUCCCGUAACGAGCGCAACCCUUGUCCUUAGUUACCAGCACGUAAAGGUGGGGACUCUAAGGAGACUGCUGGUGAAGAACCGGAGGAAGGCGGGGACGACGUCAAGUCAUCAUGGCCUUAAUGGGCAGGGCCACACACGUGCUACAAUGGGGCGUACAGAGGGAAGCCAACCCGCGAGGGGGAGCCGAUCCCACAAAGCGCAUCGUAGUCCGGAUUGAAGUCUGCAACUCGACUUCAUGAAGAUGGAAUCGCUAGUAAUCGCGAAUCAGCAUGUCGCGGUGAAUACGUUCCCGGGCCUUGUACACACCGCCCGU
RNAcentral lists this ribosomal RNA (499 nucleotides) under uncultured bacterium. Its description in RNAcentral is "partial 16S ribosomal RNA". It matches the Rfam family "Bacterial small subunit ribosomal RNA", at positions 899 to 1397 of the family's 1533-position model. The record is from RNAcentral.